This 1230-nucleotide long non-coding RNA is filed under the name Strigops habroptila (Kakapo). RNAcentral's name for it is "lncRNA (ENSSHBG00005008336.1)". Lineage: Eukaryota; Metazoa; Chordata; Aves; Psittaciformes; Psittacidae. The record is from RNAcentral.
GGGUAAGGAUUUCUUUCCUACACACCUGCUUGGAGAGCAGCUCCAUAACAUAGAAAGAGCGUGGUGUGAUAUGCACCGCAGUGGCUGCUGCAUUUCGCAGCUCCUGGGGGCAGAGCCAGAGGCGAUGCACCUCAUCAGCUUGCUGCUAAACCACAGUGCCCAUGGGUCCACAUGCUCAUUGCCAUCCUCCUUGCUAUGGAGAGAGGUGAAUUUACUGUGUGCCUUUACCUGCUGCAGGUUAAUUCACAUCCAUCGCCCCACAGACUAAUUCAGCUCAGCACUGGAUGUGGAGAGGUUCUGUGCAAAGCUGAGGUCCCAGUCACACUGAGGGUGAUUUCAGCUGAUGUCCCCUUUAGCGAGGACACAGAGCAGGCUGGAAAGGGGCAGAGGUCUGAGCCACCACACAAGACAUGCCUGGCAGCUGUGAGCAAGCACAGGAGAAAUUGUGGUUCAGAAGGGAAGCCGAGAGCCCUGCGCUCACUGGCACUCAUCACAGGCAGGACACACGCUUAACAGCUCAACCGAGCCCUCUAACACCUGCUGAAGUGUUGAAUAUUAUUGCUAUUAAAAUAUAAUGGCCUCUUCCUGCCUCUCUUCCAUGGAGCUGGGUGAGGGCUAUGAUUAGGAAGCCAGCUCACGGAGGCACAACCCCACAGGCAGGGCAGGUGGGCAGGAUUAAAACCUUUCUGAAAGUGCCUUUCGCAGCCAAGGGCCAGCUCCAAAUGGACCAUAACUACCGGUUAGACAAUAACCAAGAUUUCCAGGAAGUUUUCUGAAUAAAGCAUUUGCUAAUUUAGGUUUGGGGAGGGCUUUUUGGUUUGGGUUGGAUUUUACCUUUUUUGAGAGAGAGAGAGAAAAAAAUCCCCACCAGUCAGCCCAUGUUAUCUGUAUUCCAUUUUCAUCCUUUCCACCUCCAUCCCAUCCCUGCUCUGCUCAUGCAGGCAAAGGUGGCACAGGCAGUGUGCAACAUGGCUGUGCCAUGGGGUCCAGGAGGGGACGGGAUGGGGGUCAGCAGCCUGGGGGUCCCUUUUGCCCCCCUUUUGUCAAUGCGGUAGGACACCAAAGCCAUCCUGCCCACAGGGUUUCACACAGGGGGUUGGAGGACCCCAUGGCUGUUUACUUGCUACAGAGGUGGUUCCCAUGUUCUCUAUUUUUCAGGAUUUUUAACCAACAGUGGUCAUCAGCAUUUCUAAUUUCAAUCUAAUAAACAUGGGAAAAGACCAUCUAAAA